GUCUACGGCUGUGCCACCCUGAACAAGCCCCACGUCUGAUCUCGGAAGCUAAGCUGGGUUGGGCCUGGUUAGUACUUGGAUGGGAGAUCACCUAGGAAGACCAGGUGCUGUAGGCA
This 116-nucleotide ribosomal RNA is filed under the name Pteropus alecto (black flying fox). The record is from RNAcentral. Lineage: Eukaryota; Metazoa; Chordata; Mammalia; Chiroptera; Pteropodidae.